CUUGGCUUGGCUCAGUGGAUAGAGCAUCAGCCUGUGGACUGAAGAGUCCUGGGUUCGAUUCCAGUCAAGG
RNAcentral lists this transfer RNA (70 nucleotides) under Myotis davidii. It matches the Rfam family "tRNA". Rfam says of the family: Transfer RNA (tRNA) molecules are approximately 80 nucleotides in length. Their secondary structure includes four short double-helical elements and three loops (D, anti-codon, and T loops). Lineage: Eukaryota; Metazoa; Chordata; Mammalia; Chiroptera; Vespertilionidae. The record is from Rfam by way of RNAcentral.